RNAcentral lists this long non-coding RNA (925 nucleotides) under Hordeum vulgare. RNAcentral's name for it is "long non-coding RNA (HVUL_LNC001342)". The record is from RNAcentral. Lineage: Eukaryota; Viridiplantae; Streptophyta; Magnoliopsida; Poales; Poaceae.
UUUGAUGAGUGGUCAGAUGACCGUGUGAUGUGAUCCAUUCAGGUUGGAUCACGAGUAUAUCGAGGGUUGUGGUACAACCCAGAAGAGAGUAAGUUGAUAUUCGGUAACAGUAAACUAGAUAAGCACUUGUUGUGAUCUUUGUCAUGCUAGUGAGGUAGAUUACAUGUUUAGUCCAUGACAUGCUAUGCUUGAUUUAUAUUUUUCCUGUUGAUUCCAUGCCAUGCUUAGAAUAGCUUAUAUAAUCAUAGUGCUUGCUUUGUUACAUGUUUGUUUGGAUGCCGUGUAUUUGGUUGUCUUGCGAGUACAUUCAAAGUACUCACCUGGCCUUGCACGUGGCCAGUUGCAGGAGAAGACUUGUCGUGCUAGAUCGUAACCAAGCCAGUCCUACGAGUUAUGGAGCCCAGCCAGGGACAUCGAAGCCACUGUAUCAAUACCUCUGCUACCAUUUAGCUAGCCUUGGAGUCAUGUAAUAUUGUUGUAAGCAACAAUAUUGUAAUACUCCAUUACUUUAAUAAAGCCAUAUUUGCCUAGAAUUUCUGUAUCAUGCUCUUGACGUGCGUCCGGUCUUAUUGUGGGGACGGACGUGUGUCGGCCCUCUAUCGGGGUGCCACACUAUGAACUCGACCUAUUUUUUUGUAAAUAUGACUAGUUCAUCGUUCCUAAUUCAGCUUUGUUAUGAGAGAAACAUGUUUGCAAUGACAACUUAGAGAUCAUAGUUUCUGAUGCCAUGCUUAAUAAGCUAGGAGCUUAUAAUGGUUUGUCUUGGAUGCCAACAUGAAUUUCAAGAUGAUUAUGAUGUAGUAUGAUAGGAUGGUAUCCUCCUUUGAAUGAUUCAAGUGGCUUGACUUGGCACAUGUUCACGCAUGUAGUUGAAACAAAAUCAACAUAGCCUCUACGAUAUUCAUGUUUAUGGUGAUUUAUAUCC